GAGCGGUAGAGAGAAGCUUGCUUCUCUUGAGAGCGGCGGACGGGUGAGUAAUGCCUAGGAAUCUGCCUGGUAGUGGGGGAUAACGUUCGGAAACGGACGCUAAUACCGCAUACGUCCUACGGGAGAAAGCAGGGGACCUUCGGGCCUUGCGCUAUCAGAUGAGCCUAGGUCGGAUUAGCUAGUUGGUGGGGUAAUGGCUCACCAAGGCGACGAUCCGUAACUGGUCUGAGAGGAUGAUCAGUCACACUGGAACUGAGACACGGCCCAGACUCCUACGGGAGGCAGCAGUGGGGAAUAUUGGACAAUGGGCGAAAGCCUGAUCCAGCCAUGCCGCGUGUGUGAAGAAGGUCUUCGGAUUGUAAAGCACUUUAAGUUGGGAGGAAGGGUUGUAGAUUAAUACUCUGCAAUUUUGACGUUACCGACAGAAUAAGCACCGGCUAACUCUGUG
Molecule: ribosomal RNA, 448 nt
Filed under: uncultured bacterium
Lineage: Bacteria
Description: bacterial SSU rRNA
Rfam family: Bacterial small subunit ribosomal RNA
Source: RNAcentral